GACGAACGCUGGCGGCACGCUUAACACAUGCAAGUCGAACGAGAGAAGAGAAGCUUGCUUUUCUGAUCUAGUGGCGGACGGGUGAGUAACACGUGAGCAAUCUGCCUUUCAGAGGGGGAUACCGAUUGGAAACGAUCGUUAAUACCGCAUAACAUAAUUGAACCGCAUGAUUUGAUUAUCAAAGAUUUAUCGCUGAAAGAUGAGCUCGCGUCUGAUUAGCUAGUUGGUAAGGUAACGGCUUACCAAGGCGACGAUCAGUAGCCGGACUGAGAGGUUGAUCGGACACAUUGGGACAGAGACACGGCCCAGACUCCUACGGGAGGCAGCAGUGGGGAAUAUUGCACAAUGGAGGAAACUCUGAUGCAGCGAUGCCGCGUGAGGGAAGAAGGUUUUAGGAUUGUAAACCUCUGUCUUCAGGGACGAAAAAAGACGGUACCUGAGGAGGAAGCUCCGGCUAACUACGUG
RNAcentral lists this ribosomal RNA (465 nucleotides) under uncultured bacterium. RNAcentral's name for it is "partial 16S ribosomal RNA". It matches the Rfam family "Bacterial small subunit ribosomal RNA", at positions 28 to 507 of the family's 1533-position model. The record is from RNAcentral.